GAACGCUAGCUACAGGCUAACACAUGCAAGUCGAGGGGCAGUCAGGGUCUGUGCCUGCACAGAGUUGCUGGCGACCGGCGCACGGGUGAGUAACGCGUAUCCAACUUCCCCUUAGUAGAGGAUAGCCGGCGAAAGUCGGAUUAAUACUCUAUGUUGUUCGAUGCGGACAUCUAAGUUGAACCAAAGGUUUACCGCUAAGGGAUGGGGAUGCGUCUGAUUAGGUAGUAGGCGGGGUAACGGCCACCUAGCCAACGAUCAGUAGGGGUUCUGAGAGGAAGGUCCCCCACAUUGGAACUGAGACACGGUCCAAACUCCUACGGGAGGCAGCAGUGAGGAAUAUUGGUCAAUGGACGAGAGUCUGAACCAGCCAAGUAGCGUGCAGGAUGACGGCCCUAUGGGUUGUAAACUGCUUUUAUGCGGGGAUAAAGUGAGGGACGUGUCCCUUAUUGUAGGUACCGCAUGAAUAAGGACCGGCUAAUUCCGUGCCAGCAGCGGC
This 496-nucleotide ribosomal RNA is filed under the name uncultured bacterium. Its description in RNAcentral is "bacterial SSU rRNA". It matches the Rfam family "Bacterial small subunit ribosomal RNA", at positions 31 to 518 of the family's 1533-position model. The record is from RNAcentral.